UACGAAGGGGGCUAGCGUUGCUCGGAAUCACUGGGCGUAAAGCGCACGUAGGCGGCUUUUUAAGUCAGAGGUGAAAUCCUGGAGCUCAACUCCAGAACUGCCUUUGAUACUGAAGAUCUUGAGUUCGGGAGAGGUGAGUGGAACUGCGAGUGUAGAGGUGAAAUUCGUAGAUAUUCGCAAGAACACCAGUGGCGAAGGCGGCUCACUGGCCCGAUACUGACGCUGAGGCACGAGAGCGUGGGGAGCAAACAGG
RNAcentral lists this ribosomal RNA (253 nucleotides) under uncultured bacterium. RNAcentral describes it as "partial 16S ribosomal RNA". It matches the Rfam family "Bacterial small subunit ribosomal RNA", at positions 524 to 776 of the family's 1533-position model. The record is from RNAcentral.